UCCAUACAUUUGGUGCUUUGUGACUCUCUUGUUGAAUCUUCUACUUCAUGGGAAAUUUAAAGGUAAACAUCAGUCACUGAGGUUGUUCAAACAACUAAACAGGGAGGGGGGAAAGUUGGGGGAAGGCAGGAUCCUACCUACCUUCCCAUGAUCAGCACCUCUUCAGGGCUCCACCACCCGCACGCCCACAUGAGCAGCACAGAAGAUGCCUGAUGUGAGAACAAGAGGAGGAAGUCCUCCCACAUCCCAUAAUGCACCACGCAGGCAGUGGAGAGGCAGCCCUUGCCAGUGCAGCAGGGCUCCUCUUCCUGGCUAUGCUUUCCACAGGAAUCUAUGGUCACCAGUCCUGAGAGCCUUCGGAACGGCAGUGGCAGCACAGAUGACCAAAUAAAAAGUGGUCCAACAGAGGUGCUGGGAAACAAGAUGACAGAAAGAAUAUUGGACAGAUUUGUGGCACCUGAAGGCAGCACUAAAAGGAGUUACUGAGUGACCACAUGUGUAACAGUUCAGCAUCUGACGAUGGGUUAUCUCCCACAAAAGUUGACUGCUGCAGCACCCUGUGUACACUGUCCAGAGUUUCAGCAUGGAAGAAAGGCAGAAGAAAGUG
This is a long non-coding RNA of Hemicordylus capensis (graceful crag lizard), 607 nucleotides long. RefSeq lists it as uncharacterized. The transcript has 3 exons. NCBI's taxonomy places the organism in Eukaryota, Metazoa, Chordata, Lepidosauria, Squamata, Cordylidae. The record is from RefSeq and is a predicted model, not a curated record.